This 292-nucleotide ribosomal RNA is filed under the name uncultured bacterium. Its description in RNAcentral is "partial 16S ribosomal RNA". The record is from RNAcentral.
GGACUACCAGGGUAUCUAAUCCUGUUUGCUCCCCACGCUUUCGCGUCUGAGUGUCAGUCACCGUCCAGAAGGCCGCCUUCGCCACCGGUAUUCCUCCCAAUAUCUACGGAUUUCACCCCUACAUUGGGAAUUCUGCCUUCCUCUCCGGGACUCUAGCCGAGCAGUUUCGGAUGCAGUUCCCGAGUUGAGCUCGGGGCUUUCACAUUCGACUUACUCAGCCACCUGCACGCGCUUUACGCCCAGUAAUUCCGAACAACGCUUGCGCCCUCCGUAUUACCGCGGCGGCUGGCAC